Molecule: ribosomal RNA, 253 nt
Filed under: uncultured bacterium
Lineage: Bacteria
Description: partial 16S ribosomal RNA
Rfam family: Bacterial small subunit ribosomal RNA
Source: RNAcentral
UACGGGGGGGGCAAGCGUUGUUCGGAAUUACUGGGCGUAAAGAGCGCGUAGGCGGUCCGAUAAGUCGGCUGUGAAAGUCAGGGGCUCAACCCUUGAAAGCCGGCCGAUACUGUCGGACUAGAGUCCGGAAGAGGCAAGUGGAAUUCCCGGUGUAGCGGUGAAAUGCGCAGAUAUCGGGAGGAACACCAGUGGCGAAGGCGGCUUCCUGGACACCAACUGACGCUGAGACGCGAAAGCGUGGGGAGCAAACAGG